CCCUUAGAUGUUCUGGGCCGCACGCGCGCUACACUGAUGAACGCAACGAGACCACCUGUACCGAAAGGCAUGGGUAAACUUGUGAAAGUUCAUCGUGAUGGGGAUAGAUUAUUGCAAUUAUUAAUCUUCAACGAGGAAUUCCUAGUAAGCGCGAGUCAUCAGCUCGCGUUGAUUACGUCCCUGCCCUUUGUACACACCGCCCGUCGCUCCUACCGAUUGAAUGGUCCGGUGAAAUCUUCGGAUUGCUGGAUAGGACUUCAUUGGCCUAUCUGCGAGAAGUUGCUUGAACCUUAUCAUUUAGAGGAAGGAGAAGUCGUAACA
This 321-nucleotide ribosomal RNA is filed under the name uncultured eukaryote. RNAcentral's name for it is "partial 18S ribosomal RNA". It matches the Rfam family "Eukaryotic small subunit ribosomal RNA", at positions 1470 to 1796 of the family's 1831-position model. The record is from RNAcentral.